AUUGAACGCUGGCGGCAGGCCUAACACAUGCAAGUCGAGCGGAUGAAGGGAGCUUGCUCCUGGAUUCAGCGGCGGACGGGUGAGUAAUGCCUAGGAAUCUGCCUGGUAGUGGGGGAUAACGUCCGGAAACGGGCGCUAAUACCGCAUACGUCCUGAGGGAGCAAGUGGGGGAUCUUCGGACCUCACGCUAUCAGAUUAGCCUAGGUCGGAUUAGCUAGUUGGUGGGGUAAAGGCCUACCAAGGCGACGAUCCGUAACUGGUCUGAGAGGAUGAUCAGUCACACUGGAACGGAGACACGGUCCAGACUCCUACGGGAGGCAGCAGUGGGGAAUAUUGGACAAUGGGCGAAAGCCUGAUCCAGCCAUGCCGCGUGUGUGAAGAAGGUCUUCGGAUUGUAAAGCACUUUAAGUUGGGAGGAAGGGCAGUAAGUUAAUACCUUGCGGUUUUGACGUUACCAACAGAAUAAGCACCGGCUAACUUCGUG
Molecule: ribosomal RNA, 484 nt
Filed under: uncultured bacterium
Lineage: Bacteria
Description: partial 16S ribosomal RNA
Rfam family: Bacterial small subunit ribosomal RNA
Source: RNAcentral